Molecule: transfer RNA, 71 nt
Filed under: Capra hircus (goat)
Lineage: Eukaryota; Metazoa; Chordata; Mammalia; Artiodactyla; Bovidae
Also listed under: 1 other name
Rfam family: tRNA
About the family: Transfer RNA (tRNA) molecules are approximately 80 nucleotides in length.
Source: Rfam by way of RNAcentral
UCCCAGGUAGCUCAGUGGUAAAGAAUCUGCCUGCCAAGCAGGAGACUUGGGUUCAAUUCCUGCAUCGGGAA